CCAAUAGCGUAUAUUAAAGUUGUUGCAGUUAAAAAGCUCGUAGUUGAAUUUCGGAAUCGACGGAUUGGUCGCGCCUUUGGUGUGUACUGGUCUUGACGGUUUCUCCCUUCUGACGAACCACGAUGUCAUUAAUUUGGUGUCGUGGGGAAUCAGGACUGUUACUUUGAAAAAAUUAGAGUGUUUAAAGCAGGCAUUAGCUUGAAUACAUUAGCAUGGAAUAAUGAAAUAGGACGUUUGAUCUUAUUUUGUUGGUUUCUAGGAUCGACGUAAUGAUUAAUAGGGAUAGUUGGGGGCAUUAGUAUUCAAUUGUCAGAGGUGAAAUUCUUGGAUUUAUUGAAGACUAACUACUGCGAAAGCAUUUGCCAAGGAUGUUUUCAUUAAUCAAGAACGAAAGUUAGGGGAUCGAAGACGAUCAGAUACCGUCGUAGUCUUAACCAUAAACUAUGCCGACUAGGGAUCGGAUGAUGUUAAUUUUUUAAUGACUCAUUCGGCGCCUUACG
This 500-nucleotide ribosomal RNA is filed under the name uncultured Glomeromycotina. RNAcentral describes it as "partial small subunit ribosomal RNA". It matches the Rfam family "Eukaryotic small subunit ribosomal RNA", at positions 591 to 1092 of the family's 1831-position model. The record is from RNAcentral. Lineage: Eukaryota; Fungi; Glomeromycota.